Molecule: ribosomal RNA, 812 nt
Filed under: uncultured fungus
Lineage: Eukaryota; Fungi
Description: eukaryotic LSU rRNA
Rfam family: Eukaryotic large subunit ribosomal RNA
Source: RNAcentral
CCCGCUGAACUUAAGCAUAUCAAUAAGCGGAGGAAAAGAAACUAACAAGGAUUCCCCUAGUAACGGCGAGUGAAGCGGGAUGAGCUCAAAUUUAAAAUCUGGUAGUCUUCUGGCUACCCGAGUUGUAAUCUAGAGAAGUGUUUUCUGUGCUGGACUGUGUACAAGUUUCCUGGAUACGGAACAUCAUAGAGGGUGAGAAUCCCGUCCUUGACACAGGCCCCCAGUGCUUUGUGAUGCACUCCCGACGAGUCGAGUUGUUUGGGAUUGCAGCUCAAAAUGGGAGGUAAAUUCCUUCUAAAGCUAAAUAUUGGCGAGAGACCGAUAGCGAACAAGUACCGUGAGGGAAAGAUGAAAAGAACUUUGAAAAGAGAGUUAAAAAGUACUUGAAAUUGCUAAGAGGGAAGCACUGGAAACCAGUCGAUGGCUUGCAUGUAUUUUAACUUCUGUUUCCAGCCGUUCGCUUCGACGUAGAGAGCCCAAAGCCUCUUGUCUUGGUGGACGAUGGUGCGGUUGUGCCAUGUACGGUAGGCCGUGUCAGAAUCAGUUUGAUCCGUGAGAGAAAGCUAUGACGACGAUAGGCUCGCGGGGUUUACUCCAAGAGCUGUUUAGUGUUGUAGUGCUAUCAUGGGUUAGACUGAGGUACAAGUCGAAAGGCGCACCACUGGGUUAGCGGGUCUCUAUUCCCUGGAUUCACAGGGGACUUGGACAACAAAGUUGUGCGGUCCCCGAAGGUUUCCACUGGUUUGGUAGAUUCAGCAGCAGCCUUCGAGAUUCUGACGAAAUGGUUUUCAUUGACCCGUCUUGAAACACGG